This is a non-coding RNA of Cucurbita pepo subsp. pepo (vegetable marrow), 1297 nucleotides long. Lineage: Eukaryota; Viridiplantae; Streptophyta; Magnoliopsida; Cucurbitales; Cucurbitaceae. The record is from RefSeq and is a predicted model, not a curated record.
AGAGGAAAGCCCAAAUAGAACAAUAUUUGCUAGCAAUGGGCUUGAGCCAUUACACUACUUCUCGAUAUUAUUUUGGAAUGGUGUGUACGCCUCUUCUUAUCUUUUAAGGAUUGUGAAUCUUUAAUUUUUCUUUUGUAAGAUUCAAGAGAAGAUAUCACAUUAAAGUUUGAAUUGAUAUUCCUUUUCAAUUCAAAGUCUUUUCUUUACAAACUUGGUGGGUUUCACUAUUAGGUUGAAGGAUUAUAAGUUUGCUUCAAGUAUCACACCUGUUCUUUUGCUUUUUACACUUUUUCUAUGAUACCCAAAACACUCAGGUUACCUAAAAAGAUCGAAAAUCAUUUAUACGCUUAAUCAUAUUUUUAGAGUCAAAUAAGCCUACGAUAUACCCAAACACUUGGCCGAAAAUACAUCUCAACUUGUUAAGACAACAUCAUCAACCAGAAGUCCAACGUUCAAAUAAUUACAAGAACGUAAUAUCACUACAAAACAUUUAUAGAAGGCAGAAAACAAAGAUAAACUCAUUUAUAUCCCGUCUUAUCAAUUCACAACCGAUAAUUCCUAUCACUAUCAACAAACAAACAUCCGAAAAACAAAAUCUAAUCUUCAUAACCAAUAUUUUAAGAAAGUGACAAAUCACAAUAAUGUCAAUGAAAUCAGAAACAUACAAGUUCUUUCUUCCAGUUUGGUUUUUUGCUUGAAAAUAAGACCAUGUAAUAUAAUUCAAAUGUAUAAUAAUGGUGUAUAGUAUAGAGGUGGUGGUAGUGGAGCCCCAUGUCCCCUUCCUUUUCCAUUCCUAAACCUAUCUUUUAGGCCAUCUCUGAGAUAUUAUCUUCCCUGAUUUUCAGUGCUUAUACUCUGUGAUAGAGAGGAGAAGCCAUAGCAGCAGAGCUUAAAGAACAAUAAAUAAAAAAAAAAAGUUCGUUCGUUCGUUUCGUGGAUUGAAUGAAAAAAAUGAUCUCGGACCAGGCUUCAUUCCUUACACGUAGCUUUUCCUUGGAAAGUUUUGGAUAUGGGAAAGAUGAAAGACCUUUGAUCAACUUCUGGUAAGCUCUCUUGAAUCUCUUAUGAGGAUCAUAUAUAUAUAUAUAUAUAGACAUAUAUUAUAUCUAUUGUGGCUCUUUCUUUAGGGUUUCAUUGUUCUUAGGAUGAUUUGUGAACAUGGGAUAGCAUUAGAAAUUAUUUCGAGAAAAUAUGGUUGUUUUGGUACACGAUGUUUGAUGAACUGGUGGUAUGUUUUAUUUAGGUGAUAGAUCAAACUAUCGAUUUUUUAGAUGAUAAUUAAUAUUUUAUUUACUGA